UUUACUUUUCAUUAUUUAGAUUGCAAAUCCACAAAGUACUGCCAUCCUGUCUUUAUUGUCAGCCAACCCAUCUUCUUCUUCACUUUAAGCCUCCUUCAUUUUAGGCCUCUUUCCUUUCAAACACUAAAACAAAUUUUUUUUUUCUCUGUAAACACGUUUCCUUGCAUAUAUGUUACUCUUUUAUCUUUUUUGUCUUGUUAAGAUCCCUAUUAUAAACUGAUUAUUUCACUAAUUUAAUUACUUGUAACACAUAGGAAGCCAGAAAAAAAUUAUUUCCUAAAAUCAUACUUUGCUUAAAAUUGUUACAAAAUGUAAAAUCCAAUUAAUUUUUGUUGAGUAACAAUACAAAAUCCAGAACUCGUAUUUAUCUAAUGAAUGGAAACAUUAGCCGUUUCCCCUAUAAAUUGAGACAAACAGAAAUGAAGAAGGGCAGGGGAUUUUAGGCAGUGAAGCACCGUCGCCCUUCCAUAUGUGAAUAGGCAUGUAUUUUCUUCAUUUACAGCUGUUCAAACUUUAUAUUUGAUUAUUUAUUUGAGAGAUGAAAUCUUUUUGUGUAUAUGAAUGUUGUUUUGGUUGAUAUAAUGUGUAUCUGAAACAAAAUUUCUAUAGUGUUUGAAAAGUUUUGUUUUCUUUGAUU
RNAcentral lists this long non-coding RNA (637 nucleotides) under Cicer arietinum (chickpea). RNAcentral's name for it is "long non-coding RNA (CARI_LNC001460)". The record is from RNAcentral. Lineage: Eukaryota; Viridiplantae; Streptophyta; Magnoliopsida; Fabales; Fabaceae.